UUAGCUGUGGGUUCUUAUUUCCGCUUUCACUAAAUCUUGAAUGAUUGUGCCUCAAGUAUUCAAUUUGUUCUGCAUGUACAUUAGUUAAAUUAGCCAUACAAGGAAGGUUUGUUAUUUUGGGUGCUCCUGCCCUCUCUAAAUUCCCCCUGCAUAUAUAGUAGUUGGGUACCCUGGAGCUCCUCAAACUAAGCCCCAAGCAUCGCCGCCUGGGAUCUCCAGGAUCGACACGCGUCCAUCCUUACCCAGACCGUGCAUAGCUGGCCAUGGCGUUCGUGAUGUAGCCGUAGUAGCAGCCAUCCAUACAGGAAGGCUCCAUCCUAGGUUCAGGCUACAUAUUUAUUUAGUCGCUUGCCUAGAAAGGUUGGAUCUUAGUUUGCUUCCCACAUAAUUUGCUCAGUAUUUAAUACAUAGUCCUAGGUUUACUAAAAUCUGCAUAGUAUUUUUCUGCAGAUAGUUAUGGAUGUGAACUUUGCAAAACUUUUGUACAAGAUUUGCGGCCCUCUGAUGAAUCAUGAAAAUUGUUUAUAGGCUUGACACACACUCAUGUUUGUGUUUUAAUUAAUGUGUUGUAAAGUUGGUCGUAAAAUAUUAAUUAUUGUGUUCAUAGGCUAAUUAAAGUUAUUUGGGGCAGUACUAAUGUGGUUCUGUUUGGCUCAAUGUGCGGACUACGCUUCAUUUGGAUGGGGCGCGUUCUACACAUCAACAUCAGAGGUGGUGUUCAGAUGAGCAAAAUUCAUUAGCUGGUAUAUUGGGCUUCAAGAUUAGGUGACUUUUGAUUUAACUGUGAGUUUUCCUGUCCAUGGAUCAGUAGCAUGCCAACAAGGUGAAGACCUUUGCCUGACACAAACUACAAAUAAGAACGAGCUGAUGCUCUACAAGAAAGCAAUUGUUGGCUGUACCAACACCAAUUUGGAUUACUCUUUUAAUAAUCUUUGAAAUUAUUGUUAGCUUCAAAAUUUUCCACCAUGGAAAAAUAGCUUGAUGGGAUACUAAUGCAGGGCUAUUUGAGUCUUUUGGUGUACUUUAUUAUUUAGUUGUGUCUACUUGUAUGAGUAAUUCUUUUUGUAAUGUAUAUGUUUGUGCUAUAAUCAUCCUAUUAGACCGCACUACAGAAAUGGUCAUUGAUCUUCCUACACUAAA
This is a long non-coding RNA of Panicum virgatum (switchgrass), 1140 nucleotides long. RefSeq lists it as uncharacterized. The record is from RefSeq and is a predicted model, not a curated record. Lineage: Eukaryota; Viridiplantae; Streptophyta; Magnoliopsida; Poales; Poaceae. The transcript has 4 exons.